Molecule: small nucleolar RNA, 118 nt
Organism: Nerophis ophidion (straightnose pipefish)
Lineage: Eukaryota; Metazoa; Chordata; Actinopteri; Syngnathiformes; Syngnathidae
Product: small nucleolar RNA SNORA26
Exons: 1
Source: RefSeq, a predicted model, not a curated record
UUGCCCACCCGAGACGACAAUUGUUUCUGGUGUUGAACACAGGGGGGUAAAGAAUCUCUCCCAUAAACCUGCAGUAGAGGCUCACAUCCUCGCUGCGGACCUGUCGGGAGAAACACUG